This 381-nucleotide unclassified non-coding RNA is filed under the name plant metagenome. RNAcentral describes it as "partial contains small subunit ribosomal RNA and internal transcribed spacer 1". The record is from RNAcentral.
AAGUCAUAACAAGGUUUCCGUAGGUCAAGUUUUGCCUACCACAGCGGCCUGCGGGCCUGCUAGUCUCUCCCUGGGAGGCGACACGCUCAAUAUGCGGAGAGAGCCUGCGAGGCAAAUCCGCAGCUGCGACAGCAGUUCAGAGACUCAAUGAGCGUGGGUCCAGCCCCCCCGGCUGAGCUUGAGAUAGAGCCCGACCCUGCUGGGAACUGCAGGGAGCGAUCGGAACCUGCGGAAGGAUCAUUAAAGAAUAAAGGCUUCACGGCCCCAUUUCUCACCCUUUUGUAUACUGAACUUUGUUGCCUUGGCAGCAGCCGAGUAGGCCUGCCAGAGGACCGAAACCCUAGAAUCUCUGCCGUCUGAGUUACUAUACAAUAGUUAAAA